UGGGGAAUAUUGGACAAUGGAGGAAACUCUGAUCCAGCAAUUCUGUGUGUGUGAAGAAGGUUUUAGGACUGUAAAACACUUUUAGUAGGUAAGAAAAAAAUGACGGUACCUACAGAAGAAGCAACGGCUAAAUACGUGCCAGCAGCCGCGGUAAUACGUAUGUUGCGAGCGUUAUCCGGAAUUAUUGGGCUUAAAGGGCAUCUAGGCGGUAAGACAAGUUGAAGGUGAAAACCUGUGGCUCAACCAUAGGCUUGCCUACAAAACUGUUGAACUAGAGUACUGGAAAGGUGGGUGGAACUACACGAGUAGAGGUGAAAUUCGUAGAUAUGUGUAGGAAUGCCGAUGAUGAAGAUAACUCACUGGACAGAAACUGACGCUGAAGUGCGAAAGCUAGGGGAGCAAACAGG
This 407-nucleotide ribosomal RNA is filed under the name Verrucomicrobiota bacterium. RNAcentral describes it as "Verrucomicrobia bacterium partial 16S ribosomal RNA". It matches the Rfam family "Bacterial small subunit ribosomal RNA", at positions 355 to 776 of the family's 1533-position model. Lineage: Bacteria; Pseudomonadati; Verrucomicrobiota. The record is from RNAcentral.